AGUAACACGUGGGUAACCUGCCCCGAUGAUUGGGACAACCCGAGGAAACUCGGGCUAACACCGAAUGUGCCCUACAGCUUCAAGGCUGGUGGGGAAAGGAAGCUUCGGCCUCCGCAUCGGGAUGGGCCCGCGGCCCAUUAGCUUGUUGGUGAGGUAACGGCUCACCAAGGCAACGAUGGGUAGUCGGCCUGAGAGGGCGACCGGCCACACUGGGACUGAGACACGGCCCAG
Molecule: ribosomal RNA, 231 nt
Filed under: uncultured bacterium
Lineage: Bacteria
Description: partial 16S ribosomal RNA
Rfam family: Bacterial small subunit ribosomal RNA
Source: RNAcentral